This is a non-coding RNA of Pelobates cultripes (western spadefoot toad), 210 nucleotides long. The record is from the annotation of a GenBank genome assembly. NCBI's taxonomy places the organism in Eukaryota, Metazoa, Chordata, Amphibia, Anura, Pelobatidae.
CUCUAAUUUCCUCUCGCAAGCAGCUAUGUGCUGACACAGUUCUACAGGAUCUAUGGCCCUGUCGUAAUGUCAGGAUUACUGUUUGAUCCAGCACGGAUGACAAAUAAGUAACGUAUUACCGGUCCUUAGAAUGGCCGGAUUUAACGUACAAAGAAUAGUCAAAAAUACUAGCCGAGGUCAGGGAACACAGAAAGGGACACAGCGAUGAGG